This is a long non-coding RNA of Anarrhichthys ocellatus (wolf-eel), 1916 nucleotides long. RefSeq lists it as uncharacterized. The transcript is spliced from 3 exons. The record is from RefSeq and is a predicted model, not a curated record. Lineage: Eukaryota; Metazoa; Chordata; Actinopteri; Perciformes; Anarhichadidae.
CUUUAUGUACACUCUGAUGGUUAACGUUAAAACUUUAUUUAAAUUGUGAUGGUUAACGAUAAAACUUUAUUUACCCCGUGAUGGUUAAAGCAAAAAAUUUAUUUACACUGUGAUGGUUAACGUUAAAACUUUAUUUACACUCUGAUGGUUAACGUUAAACUGUGAGGAGGGUCAGCUCUAUGGCAGCACAUUACUAACAGUGAUGGGUGUGCUGAGUAACUAAUAUUUACACCAAAAGGCUGAAUAAUCCUCGUAGACUUGGGUCUAGAUCCUGAUGAGUCCAUCAGGACAUGAUGUCGCUGCUCAAGUCUCUCAUAUUUUCAUUUUCUCAUCAUCACACGUAGUCUUUCUUUCCUUCGUCUUCCUGUUUGUUUCUUUUGAGUUCCACCUUCAGUGUUUCUCUUUCAUUCCUCUUCAUCCUUCCAUUUCAUCUCUCCUCCUCUUCCUCUUCCUCACCCCCCUCCUCUCAGUCAGUCUCCGAAGGUGGAGAGGGUGGAGGAACCCGACGUCUUCUCUCCACCAAUCAGGUUCAGUCACACAGUUGCACAGCAUGGUUGCACAGUGAGUCCUGCCUGUAGACGGUUCAGGUUAAAGUGAACACACGCAGUCAGACUGGAUGAAGUCUGUUCUUUAACGUUUGACUCCUUGAUUCCUUCCUAACUCCUCUCCUCUGUCUCCUCCCUCCUGCCUGAAGCUUGAGAAGUAUUUUUAUCUUGACGCUCGUCUCCGUGUUGUCGCUCCUGCACACACUUUAUACUUCUACUACAUCUCAGAGGUGAAUGUUGUACUAUUUAUCUUAAGUAGCUUCAGUUACUUUUUACAGAUUCAAAUUAAUAGAACAUAUAAAUAAAAGAUGAUGUGUUAUUAUUAUAGAUUAAUACUACCAGCAGUGUAUAAAGUCUUUAAAAUGAGCUGCAACAUUAAAGAACACAUGAAUGCAUCAAUAACAUAUUACACAUCAUAUUCUGCAUAAUGAGUACUUUUACUUCUGGUACUUCAGAUACUAACUGUACUAACAUUUUGAAUGCAGGCUUUUUAUUUGUAUCUUGAGUAUUUCUGCUCUGUGGUAUAAAAACCUCUGAGUACGUCUUCCUCCACUGUGUGAACCUCGACACAAUCCUGAGGGCCUUCAUCGGUCUUUAUCCACAGCGAGGGUCAGAGGAUCCUCAAGGCCCUCAAAGCAAAGUCUGACUAACUGCUGUGAGGUGGAGGAUGCUAAUAAUAGCAUUAGUAAUAGCAUUAGCAUUAGCACUAGUAACAGCAUUAGUUAUAGCACUAGUAAUAGCACUAAUUAUAGCAUUAGUUAUAGCAUUAGUAACAGCAUGGAGACUCAGCAGACUGUGGACUCACUGCUGAGUUCAUGAACCGUGUUCUGUGUCCCAUCACUGUUUAACCCAUCAUGAUAUAAACCACAGUGUCUCUCUCUUCCCGUCUGUCUGUCUGUAGCUCGGGGGGUCAGACGCCUCGGAGAGAUCUGGAGAAGCAGCUGACUGGAGAGGAAAAAGCCCUGAGACCCGGUGACCCUGGUUUCUGUGCCCGUGCUCGUGUACCGAUGCCGUCCAACAAAGACUACGUAGUUCGACCCAAAUGGAACGUAGAGAUGGAGUCCAGCAGGCACGGUCCGAUGAAGAAGGGAAUGACCCGCGUCGACAAACAGUUGCGUAGAUUCGCAGACAUCCGCCGCCUGACGAAGCCGGGUCACGCUGUUAAAAUCAGCGUGGAAGGAAACCGGAUGCCUCUCUGAUUUUAACCCUUCAUAGGAUUUAUUCACCUUUUCUUUUUCUUUUCUUUUUUUUGAAUGUGUUGUUUCCUGAACAAACCAACUGUCUCCCCCCCCUCCUCAGGUCCAGCUCUGCCUUAAGAAAGGCCCGAGGUCAAAUCACUCCAACUUAAAGGGACAGUGUGUAGGAUUUAGU